This 18-nucleotide unclassified non-coding RNA is filed under the name Chlamydomonas reinhardtii. RNAcentral describes it as "small RNA Cre_2354". Lineage: Eukaryota; Viridiplantae; Chlorophyta; Chlorophyceae; Chlamydomonadales; Chlamydomonadaceae. The record is from RNAcentral.
UAGUGCUCCAGGAGUAUA